This 713-nucleotide long non-coding RNA is filed under the name Homo sapiens (human). Its description in RNAcentral is "non-protein coding lnc-NKAIN3-14:10". Lineage: Eukaryota; Metazoa; Chordata; Mammalia; Primates; Hominidae. The record is from RNAcentral.
AUUCUGUCAUACCCUGAUAAUACUGAUAAGAAAAUUGGGAAUCUAAGAGAACGUAAGGAGAGUGAUGGUGACAUAUUGAACCUAAGGUGAUACUACAUGAUCCCUGUUUCUGGCAUUACACUCUUAUUUUCCCCUCCUCUUCAAUGUGGGUAGGACCUGUGACUUGUAUCUAACCAAUAGAAUAUGACAAAGGUAAUAGGUUGUUAUGCGAUGUCAUAGAAGACUCCAUAGUACCAGCUGACUCAGUCUAGAAUCUUGGUGUGCUUGCAGGCUUUGAAGAACAAGCUGCCAUGAAUCCUGCAGCUACAAGGAAAUGAACUCUAUUAACUUGAGUGAGCUUAAAACUAGAUCCUUCCCCAGUCAAGCCUCCAGGUGAGAAUUCAAUCCUGGCUGGCACCUGGAUUGCAGCUUACAGAAGACCCAGCUAAGGCCAUGUCUGGACUUUAAAUCCACAGGAACUGCAAGAUGGUAUCAGAAGUGGGACCUGCAGUGGGGCAUCUAGCAACCCCCAGGAGCAUUGAGUGACCAGGCUUGGGACCCACCGGGCGCAGGGUGUCCAUUGUUCUCUCGAAGCAACUGAGAAUUGUGGAUAUUCUUCAUUAUUCCAUCAUCAUCUCAAACCUCUUGGGUAUAGUGUUUGACUACUACUGUGACCAUAAAUUCCAAUAAAACCUAGGAAAAAUGAAACCACUACAUUAACUGAAAGGGAUAAG